UACGUAGGGCGCAAGCGUUAUCCGGAAUUAUUGGGCGUAAAGAGCUCGUAGGCGGUUUGUCGCGUCUGCCGUGAAAGUCCGGGGCUCAACUCCGGGCCUGCAGUCGAUACGGGCGGACUCGAGUUCGGCAGGGGAGACUGGAAUUCCUGGUGUAGCGGUGAAAUGCGCAGAUAUCAGGAGGAACACCGGUGGCGAAGGCGGGUCUCUGGGCCGAUACUGACGCUGAGGAGCGAAAGCGUGGGGAGCGAACAGG
This 253-nucleotide ribosomal RNA is filed under the name uncultured bacterium. Its description in RNAcentral is "partial 16S ribosomal RNA". It matches the Rfam family "Bacterial small subunit ribosomal RNA", at positions 524 to 776 of the family's 1533-position model. The record is from RNAcentral.